RNAcentral lists this ribosomal RNA (201 nucleotides) under Triticum aestivum (bread wheat). Its description in RNAcentral is "partial small subunit ribosomal RNA". The record is from RNAcentral. Lineage: Eukaryota; Viridiplantae; Streptophyta; Magnoliopsida; Poales; Poaceae.
UUUAUGGUAUGACCAAGACCGAGUUGGGCAGGAGCAAGCGGUUGGAUUGGCCUAACUCUUCAAGACCAAAGAUACUCGGCUUCCUCUUCAUCAAGUCACGAAAUUCGACCCUUAGUUAGCAGCACCAAAACUAGAGCAAGCCCAAGACAAGCAAGAACAACCAGCCAGCACCGAUCAGGUAGGAAGCAGACAAUAAGCUAA